AAAAUGCUAUCCUCAUCACAUCCAGUGCGCACAAGCUUCGAGUUGAACCUCUCACCUUCGCAUGAGAGUGGCUUUCGCUUUAUCAUGCGCGAGGGCAAGCUAUUAUCAGGUGCAGGCAGCAAAUAUACGCGAUGUGCGUGCAUGGAUCUUGACAGGAGCAACGGCCGCUUCCUUGAGCAGUGAGCGGAUUCAUGAUAUAACCGCUUUCUGCUCUGGUCGAAGAGCACCAACAUUGCCUGAGAGCUUCCUUAUGUCUAACGCAUCAUCAUCAGUGUAUCAAAGGGUUCCACAAGCGGUAGAGGAGGAAACACUGGCAAAGGAAGAAUUUAUCUUGAGAAAGUGGGAAGUGUGGAACGCUUGGAUGGCCGAGCAGCUUGCUUUGGAAGGUACUGUGCCUGCAGCAGUUUUGUGUUGUAACACCCCCCACAGUGACUGUUUCCACAGGGUGUCACGGUUCUCAAACCGAAGCAUUUCAAGAGUCCAGCCGAAAAAUGCGCGAGGCUUCUCAUCACUGCAGAACUACGCUGCGAACGCAUCAUCGCUUUGUUCUUCCCUCUUCCACUCCCCGCGCAGUAGGCUCGGAGGUGAGGUGACCACAUUCAAAGUCGCGGAUCGUCUCACUGCAAGCGCGGAGCGACGGCGAUACCGUUCGAAAUCGACAAAUGACAGCCGGGAGCUGCUCUUUUGACGGGCACUAGAAUUGGACGACUGCGUCGGUACCGGCGUUCUUGGCGGAAGUUUUGUAUCGCUGGCGCGCCGCACAGCGGCGUUACUUAGGCCUUUGAUGGCUAAGAUGGGCCAAGAGUCGGAGCACACUCGACAUGCGGGUGCAAUGCAACACGGUGAAAGUGAAACAGAUGCCGACAAAAGUCACCGGCAUACAAUUGCGGGGGAGCUUGUGGCUCUAGAUGAUGAGUGGGCGAAGCAAUUCAAAGAGCUCAUUGGGAGUAAACAAGGGUUAUCUACUCUGAAAACUCCUCUCCCCAGGACAAUAAACGGGGCAAAGAGUCACCUGCGAGUAUCGAAUAGUCUUAUUCAGCGUGGUGUGGGAAUACCUAGCCCACCGAAAAGGCCUCUGCUUCUCGCAAACUCGCAGCGCAUAUCCUGUACUGUGAAUGGUGUCUUUCACAUAGACCCAGAGCUCGACCCCUUCGACCGGCACGACGAGAAAGUUAGGGUUGAAGGUAUCAAAACCAGUAAUAUUUUCUUGCUGGAUAGUUUUUCGCCUAAGUCGUACAUUGGGGCACCGUUAGACAGGAGCGCUCUCAGCAUUCUAUUCGUUGAUCAUCACGUCGACGAGGACCAGCUCUCUGCCUAUGGUAUCGAGUUGCCACUCCGUGAAGACUAUCACGCACACGUCUUGCCGGACUGGAAUGAGUCGAGGAUACGUUUUGCACCUAGCCCGCUGGAGAAUCACCAAGAACUCUUGUAGGGCAAUCUCACUCACUCAGGGUGCAUCAAAUUUUUUUUUCGAUUGCGGACCUCUCACGCAUGUAUUCGCUAUUAUUCCUGCUUUUCGUUUCCUGUAUGGUUACUUGGUUUUCUAUCUUCUUUUGCAAUCGGAUGUGACUCUAUCUCUCUUUCUUAUCGUCCUUGUGCAGUUCAGUGCCUUGGACUCGAGCUCGUGGAUCUCAAAAAAAAUUAGCCUUUGCAGUUUGACUUCUCUAUUCCCCACAGGACGGCCUUUCAUAGACUCGCUUACGCAAGCUGUGUGACAGCGAAGCAGAGCAGUUCCGUCGAUUGGGAGCAGGAUUAAAUCUACAUGUAAAUCUUAUUCGCCUUUUUAUAAGGCUUGUCUCUCUUUUUUUGUUGUCUGCUCUGCCUUUAUCCCAUUCACGGCUUUUUGGAGCUAAAGCGACUGUGAAGGACGCGAUCGUUUGAUUUGUUGUGUCUAUGGCCUUGAUGAAGACGGUUUUCUUCGGGAUCGACUGCAACUUUGCCCGCUACACCAAAACACUGGCGACUCUGGGCUACAAGCCAAUCAGUAAGUUGCCUGAGUUGCUAGGCUAGGAUGACAAGGAAAACCAUGAGGUUGACAUCCAGCGAGAUCAUUAUUUACAACGGUGCUGAAAUCACUUCGGCAAUGCUCCCCAACAAUUCCGGAAACAACGAAACGGGAGCACUUAUGACAGGGGACACCUCAAAGUGGUAGUAGAGUUCAGUACCCACUCCCUCUGGAGGAGCCAAGCAGUUCCCCCUAUCCCUUGCGAGUGUCAACCCUCUGCUUGUAGUGACAGGGCCAAGCACCUGCGACGUGGUGAGGUCAGAGCGAUGUGUCGCUGCUGAUGCCGGCGGUGCGCUUCUUGAUGGCGCUGCGUCGGAGAGAGCUGCAACUAUGCAGCCGUUUGUGCCAUGUGUGUGUGACGGGCAGGGUGCCCACGUGACCCCGAUGUGUCCCACCUGGCCCCCACUGCCCACUGGUGAGGGAGCCCGCGCCACCCCGAGGGGAGAUGCAGCAGGGGGCGGCCGGCAUGAUGGGUGAGCGGCUGCGAGGCGCCCUGCUCAGUGGGCGGUGUUUGGGGCCGAGAUCACGCACUGGUGACCGAGUCGGCGCACUGCCGCAACGUGUGUCUAGCGCUGCUUUGCAGCAGGCGGUGGGCGUGCAGCCGGCCUGGGGCAGAGUUGUGCUGGGCCCAUGCCCCCUGGCAGAGAGUAAACAUGUUGGGAAAGAGAAAGAGCAAACUGGAGAAAAUCGUGUAAAUGUGCGGGGUCUAUAAGCUCUCGGGGAUGCGGGUCGUCUGAUCGGAGGGUAUUGUCCCCGUUAUGACGCUGUUGCAGUACAAGACGGGACUCUAGACGGAUCAAGGGGUUGUUAGCGGCGACGCAACACGCAUCACUUACUCGUGAUGGGCUGUCGUCUCGCGCCUUAUGUCAGGUUUGUUGGCCUCUACGCUCGCCCAUCGUAUGCAUGGACUCUCUCGUCUCUAUAUGGCGUCUGAGUAGUGCGAGAACGGAAGCUAAUUGUGCUGUCGCCUACGAAGUCCAGACCCGUGGCUCCAAGAGCAUUCUGCAGGUGACUUUAUGGUCCAUAGCGGCGAUCUCGGCGACGCAUUUUUCCCAUUGCAGGCAGUAGACGUCCCCGUAGAUGUCGAAUGGAGAAACCAGUUUUUCUAUGGCACUGGUUACUUGGUAAAUCUAGCGUUGGCAGCUGACAACUGCGAGACAGCAGGCGGACAAUGCACAACAAGGAAGCAGCGCUAAAUGCGGCAUAUUUUGUGACUGACCACGAAUUACACGAUACAUGGUUGCGGAUGGGCAGAAGUGGAAGUCCGUGUCUUCGCGCGAAUCUGCGAAGUAGCUCAAACGAUGGAUGGCCGUAUACCAGAGUUCUCAGCAAUGCUGGUGGGGCUGCGCGGUUCAUCAUCACAAGAUACCAAGAGGCGCUGGACGAGCAGGACGGUGUGCAGCCCUUCCUGAACCUUGGGAAGGCCCAGCUCGAUGUUUAUCGAAGUGCAAAGCGCGGCGUCUUGCUUCAUGUCUUUCGGAAGGCGAGGGGAGCGGGGAGGUGAGUCAAUCACACACCAGAGGAUGCUAGUCGAUUCUCCGUUGAGCACACUGUCGCUCUCUUAGACACUGAGGAGGACCUUCAGCUCUCCGAACUCUGUGGAGUACGAGUGAUGUCAUCGGCGGCACAUGCAGAGAUGCUGAAGCACGAGCAAAUGGAUAUCCGAUCCUUGCAAUCAGAAAUGGAUUCGGCCACCCUUCUCCGGGCCACUGGGGUGUGAGUGGGCUCUCAAGCAGAUCAUCCCUUUCCAGCAUCAGAAGGCCGCUGUGAACUGACUGCGUGUAUAUGUAUUUUUUUUUAGAGCUUAUUCUCUUCUCUUUCCGUCACAGCUCUACGUUUUGUUUCUUGAUAUUUUUUUCCUACUGAUCACGUUGCAUGCACGUGGCACCGGUUUCUCGAGCGAGAGCCUUCGACCAAAG
RNAcentral lists this unclassified non-coding RNA (3924 nucleotides) under Leishmania donovani. RNAcentral's name for it is "gene:unknown". Lineage: Eukaryota; Euglenozoa; Kinetoplastea; Trypanosomatida; Trypanosomatidae. The record is from RNAcentral.